GUCUGGAGUGCGACUGUGCGACUGGGUUCUCUCCAGUAAUCCUGUCCAGAUUCUGCCUUAUCUACAUCUUGGAGACUUCCCUGCAGUUUGCUGGUUCAUGUGCCUUGCUUCAGGACUUCUAACCCUGCCGGUUCAGCAUCUGCAUUCCUGGACUAUUAUUUGCAGUUUGUUUCCAUUCCUGCCUGAUUACUCCGUUUUUGAUAACUGAGGUGAUCGGGGCUCAUCACUCUGCGAACUCGCCAAUAGUGCCAGUGGUGGCUGGGGUGACACUGCCGAAAUGCGUCGCCUGGGUGGGGAUGAUGGAGCAGCAGAUUCCGUGCCAAGACGCCGUGUCUUACUUGGCCUCCUGGAAUAUGUGACUACAGUGAAGUCUUACCUGCAAUCCCAGCCUCAUCCUGACUUGUCUGAGGCCUGUCUGGCCUGCUGGUCUGUGGGACUGUUGAAAAAGUGGACCAAACAUUAUUACCAUGCUUUGUGUAAAAAUAACCACUGCAAAGCCUUAGUGUACUGUAACCAUCUAUUAGGUAUUGGAUAAACAAUUAAUUUCUGAUUAA
Molecule: long non-coding RNA, 554 nt
Organism: Pseudophryne corroboree (corroboree frog)
Lineage: Eukaryota; Metazoa; Chordata; Amphibia; Anura; Myobatrachidae
Exons: 3
Source: RefSeq, a predicted model, not a curated record